This 497-nucleotide ribosomal RNA is filed under the name uncultured bacterium. RNAcentral's name for it is "partial 16S ribosomal RNA". It matches the Rfam family "Bacterial small subunit ribosomal RNA", at positions 28 to 507 of the family's 1533-position model. The record is from RNAcentral.
GACGAACGCUGGCGGCGUGCCUAAUACAUGCAAGUCGAGCGAAGGAGGUUGGUACUUGUUCUAAUUGGAUGAGCAGCGAACGGGUGAGUAACGCGUGGGGAACCUGCCUUUGAGCGGGGGACAACAUUUGGAAACGAAUGCUAAUACCGCAUAAAAACUUUAAACACAAGUUUUAAGAUUGAAAGAUGCUCUUGCAUUACUUAAUGAUGAUCUCCCGGUGUAUUAGCCAGUUGGUGAGGUAAAGGCUCAACAAGGCGAUGAUACAUAGCCGACCUGAGAGGGGGGUCGGCCACAAAUGGACUGGGACACGGCCCAAACUCCUACGGGAAGCAGCAGUAAGGAAUCUUCGGCAAUUGACGGAAGGCUGACCGGGCAACGCCGCGGGAGUGAAGAAAGGUUUCGGAUCGUAAAACUCUGUUGGUAGGGAAGAACGUUAGGGAGAGGGGAAAGCGCAUCAAGUGACGGUAACUACCCAGAAAGGGACGGCUAACUACGUG